Molecule: long non-coding RNA, 5771 nt
Organism: Lotus japonicus
Lineage: Eukaryota; Viridiplantae; Streptophyta; Magnoliopsida; Fabales; Fabaceae
Exons: 2
Source: RefSeq, a predicted model, not a curated record
AACUAGUAUUUUAUAAUUCUCUCUUACUAAGUUCCUUAUUCUAUUCUUUCUCAAUUUCUGACUCAUGACCCACGGCCCCCCACUUGUUCAUGAAAAUAUCUUCCCCAGCAUAUCACCUUACACUCUCGUUUCUUUUCUUUCUCCCAACGCCAGACCCAUUUUCUUCUUCUCUUUCACGUUUUCUUUCUUUCUUCAGCAGACCCAUUUCUGCUCCUUCUUCCUUUCUUCUCCAUGGACAACCAGCCAUGAGCCACCACCACCACACACAAAAGCUCCAACCAUGGCCACUCCAAACAGCCAUGGACACGCGAGCACCACAGCCACCGCUGGCCACCAUCACCAUAGGGUACGAAGGACGGAAGCGCUUGACGACGAAGCCAAAGAACAAACGGAAGUGAGCCAACACGAGAAAGCAAAGAUAUGACUGGAUUUGAUUUGAGUCGCAACUUAGUAAGGAAAGCGCGAAGGUUAGGGCAACUUACAUAUUAGCUAUGAUUGCAUGAUAGGCGUCGAUCAAUUCGACUUAUGCUUUAUCCGAUAUUGAUUAUGAUGAUGAGUUGUUGUUAUGAUGUUUUUCCAUAACUUGUGAUAUUGUGAUAUUGUUGGAUUUGUGCGUUUUGACGCGACUUCGGAGUGGAGAUUCAUUGAUCUGGUGAUCUUUGAUAUUUCGGGUUGGAUGAACAACCCUAAGUAAGUUCAAAUGUGGGGUUUGAGAUUUAGCCAUUUGUUGGGAUUCUUUUAAAUACUUAGACUUUCCCCGGGAAACUUCUUUUGGCGGGUUUUUGGAAACUUAGAAUGAUUAGACUUUCGAAAAUUAGAGACUUUGGGAGACUUAGACUUUGAGAAAUAAACUCAUAACCUGACUAAUCCAAUUCGAAACGUUUUUACUAAACGAAUAAUUAUAGGGAACCUAAAGGAGAAAAUGAUUGUGAAAGACGGGGAAAAGUCGACUUUUAUUGUGGGUUUUGGACUUGGGGAAAGCCACUAAGGUGAGCUAUGGUGAUGAUUGAAAGUCACCGAGUACUGUAGUACUCUUAUUGUUGGGGUUGUGUUGUAUUGACCGACACUAACUCUAGGUUUUGGGUGUUGGAGUUGUGUUGUAUUGACCGACACUAACUCCGAGUCGUGUUGUAUUGACCGACACUGACUCUGGCUUUGAUUUUGGGUUUUGUUGUUGGAGCCGUGUUGUAUUGACCGACACUUAGUGCUCUUGUUGUUUGGGCUGUGUUGUAUUGACCGACACUAGACCCUUGUGUAUUCUUGUUGGUGGAGUUGUGUUGUAUUGACCGACACUUACUCCGAGUUGUGUUGUAUUGACCGACACUAACUCUUGGGUUUGUUGUGAGUUUGGGUUUGAGCUAGACACUUAUGUGGUGAGGACGAUUCGAUGUUUGGCUAACCAUAUUGCAUCAAUCGGGUGAAUAACGGGAAUGGUUCACCUGUGCAUUUCAUGGUGGAUAACGGGAAUGGUUCACCUUGCAUUAAUGAUGAAUAACGGGAAUGGUUCAUCAUAUGGUGAAUAACGGGAAUGGUUCACCAAGGAUGAAUAACGGGAAUGGUUCAUCCAGGAUGAAUAACGGGAAUGGUUCAUCCAUAGUGAAGAACGGGAAUGGUUCAUCCAUAGUGAAGAACGGGAAUGCUUCACUUGUGGCGAACGGGAAUGCGUCACAAUCCGGAUCAUAAUUGCAUUUCACGCAUACAUUCAUUCUGACUGGGAUUGUGUGCUGUUUGAUUUAUUGAAGCUUCGUUAGAGCCAAUAACAUGCUAGGAUUAUCUAUAUGUUUAUAUAACAACAUAUAUAUCUAUACCCCAUAUCACAUGUUGAGUGUAUAUCUACUUAUUUCCGUGAGUUGACCCUAGCGCCUUGGCUUUGGUUUCAUGUUUGUGUUUGGGCGGUCGACCUGCUGCCAGAUGUCGACGGUGGAUUGGGUUUCGACGGUCUCUCCCUCGGGGGGAUCAGGUUUGAGUUGGUGGAUCGACAUGCCCCACCGCUUGGGUGAUCGAUGUUGUGGGUCAUCGAGCGACGUACCGGGGAAGGGUCAUGGAGGACCGGACUGACGAGCGUGAACAUCUGACGAAAGGAGUUCUACGACGCAUGGAGCUGAGCUUCAACUUGCCAACUUUAGUUCGCAGUGGACUUGGUACUUGGAGGGUAGGUUUAGGCAGGAGUCAUAUUCUGUGUAGAGCUCUGAUUCGUUUUGCUUUUGGGACAGGGUAGGUUCCCGACGCAUGGCUUUUCGUGUGGUUCUCUUAUUGAGGGAUCACAGUGAGUUAGUCGGACUGUAGGGGUUCUGCUUAGGCCAUUUUGAGGCCGACUUUCUACUAGUGGAUUGUAGUUACAACUUUCUUACUCAAACUUCUGGGUCUGUAUUUAUUUGCCUAGGGCACACUACUUUGGAGUCACUGCGAGUGCGCGUGACAUGGGAGUGCAGCUGAGGCUGUACAUGUUUAUAUUUGAUGUAUAUUGGUUAGUUUAGUGGUUGGGUUAUGUCUUUACUUUCUAUUGCUUUAUUUAAAAGGAAUCAAACGAAAAAAAUUACGUGUUUUCCGCGUAGAGUUUAUUUUUGGUUACUAAGGUGACACCCGGAAAUCGGGGUGUUACACAAAUCUACCUAACAUUUCAAAUGAGAAUCUCCUGAAGAUCACGACUACUAUUUCAAAAGAAAUCUUUUUGGAUUGCAUAGGCGUCCAUUCUUGUGAGCUCAAACUAUAAUAAUUCCCUCGGCUCAGGUUUUCACUAUGCCACACUCUUUCAAUGUCCAAGCCAAAGGCUUUAUCCCCUAAAGUACCACUAUAUCCCAUAGUGGUAUGAUCUUUCUAUCAAGAGAAGAUCGGGAAUUGCCGCUAGGCUUUUCUUUUAGCUCUCACUCAUCCCGGGCUAUUCUUAUUAUUCUUGGCCACUAAGGAGUAGUAGUGGCUUUUGACCAAGAGAACGAGCUAGACAGAAAAGGUACCACCGAAAGAAGGUCGACCUCACCCCCUUUGGUAAACCGAAGCAGAGAAAGAGGAAGAAGCAAAGCUAGGCCAUUCGAUUAGGGAUGUUCUCACCUGUGCGUACUAUCUUUAAGAAGGAAUAUACAAAAUAACCUUCUUCUUUUUCGCAUCUCCCAAGUUCGAAUGCUUUUAUGCUGUUAAAAGAAAUCGAAUACCAUUCGUGACCCAAUUCAAAAACGGAGUGACUGAAGACCUCCUCCCCCUUUCCCGCAAGAGAGGACUCGUUCUGGCUUUAAAGAGCCUCUUUUUUAGCAGUCUCGCCCAUAAGAUAAGAGAAGAUUGACCAUCUCUUCUUCCAAGCUUCUUCUUGGCGUAACGAAAGAACUAGAUGAGGAGAGGCCUCUGGUUUAAAAUCCCUACCUUACGAGGGCGCCCUAGGCGGAUUCACUUCCGACGGGUCAAUCAAGCCUUUGAAACUAGUUCAAAUAGUCGUCACAGUCUUCGUUCCUGCUUUCAACGUGACUUUCUUAGCUGCAUCAGCUUGUAAAAGUCUCUCUCCUUCACCAGGAAAAGGGAGAGCGGACAAAGUACCAGACGAUGUUGGGUUGGGUAAGAAGAGCUGACGAGAAGAGUAAGCAGACGAUGUCGAUAGAAGACGAUUCGUGGGAUCUUCCUCAAAGUCAAAGAUAGAUAAAAAUGAACUAAACUAAACAAAGCCAGCCCAUGAAAUUAGAUGUCGAAUGAGUACGAUUUCGAGCAUAAAGAGAGAAGGAAAAGGAACUAUUUAGCAAGAAUCUAGGUUUAGCAAGAUAGCUGCCAGAAAGACUGAGCUUAGGUGCAUAGCGCUUAAAUAAGUGGUUGAAGAGUAGCUUUCCAUCCCGACAAUGACUACUGACUUUCCAUUUUUGGGAUUUCACUUAAAAGACUGGACUUCAAGCAGCAAUGAGAACAAAGGCAAGGAAUUGAUGCGCCAAUAAUCGAAGAAUGGGGCAAGGCAAAUUUCCAGACAAUGGUAAGUGUUUGAGAAGGAGCUGUGAAAGAAGGGGCUGCUAGAGAAUAGGGAUCUCUUGAAGAAGAAGGGAUUGCGGGGUGAACGACAUUCUGUUGUACUAUUCACACUAGCUGUACUAGAGUAGUUUAGUAGCGCCUUUUGAAUCAAAUAGGCGAACCUUUUCCGAAUCCGAAAGGAAACAGCCCGCAUUGCAAGCAAAUAGAUAGCCCCCGCCCGUUUGAGUCGUUGCGAGCCGGAAAGCGUACCGGCAGUUUGAGUCACGAAAGGGCCGCUUGCUUAAUCUUGAUUUUCUUAUAUUUAUAUAUAGAAGAAAAUCAUUUUUUUAUCCAAUUGUUCAUUCCUAGGAAGAGGAAGAAGCAGAUAGAGCAAAGGCCUCCUCUUUCCGUCCACUCUUCCCGAAGUGAGCGAAUUGCAUGUAGAGAUCCGUAGGGGCUUAUAGUUUAAUUGGUUGAAACGUACCGCUCAUAACGGUAAUAUUGUAGGUUCGAUCCCUACUAAGCCUACCACCCCCUUAUCUUCACCCUAUACAAGAAGGCAGUCGAAGUCCCCUCCACUCUUCAUUUUUUUUUGGGGGAAGACAUCGCGUUCCUAGUCGAUUUCCCUCAUUGCACUGUCCCCUUAAUGCUACGAAGUGAAGCAGGCAUAGAGACCAACCAUAGGGUAUCUAUCCUGUGAUCUUUCAUCAACCCCGGCUCGGUAUCGGUAGUCUCAGUCUUUCCCUGCCUGCCCUGGUAUGAGUAGAGAGUAUAAGAGGGAGUCUUAUUCUACUCUAGGCUCACUCCACCCCUGUGUUGUCUUAUUUCAGGAGGGACUGGAUUGUUAAAAAAUCCCGGACUCUGUCUUUGGGCUAAAGUCUAUAGUUCUCUCCUCACUAACGGAAGUCUCUUAGUAAGUAGCAUCAGCUCUUCCGGGGGAAAGCCUGACGUAAGGAGUAUUCGCGGGCUAUCCACAAGCAUUCUCCCCCUGACCUGCCUCCCAACCUCAAGAUCAUCAGCGGACGACGCCUUCUUCCGAAAGUCCUCCCAAGGCUUUGCCCCAGCGAAAGAGACUGAAAAAGAUCCUUAUCCGAUUCCUCGGGUCUUGCUGCGUCAGCUACCGUAGAUAGGAGGCUUUAGCCUAUAAAGAAAGCAGCUUAGUAGUAGGAAGGAAGCAAAGAAAAGUAUGCCCUACAUGUCAACAGGGUGGAAGUUCAAAGCAUCGAAGAUGAGUACAUGGAAGCACCAAUGAAGAAAGUCCAGAGUGCAGAUAUAACCUUCUCGACAUAAGACAUCUUGCUGGACAGGAAGAAGCAUACAUAAGCGGCCUCUUUAUCUCACCGGUGACAUCGGCGAAAGAAAGAAGGCUACCGCGGGUAGAGAUCGACCUUAGGGCCUCCAUCAACGUGAUGCCACUGCGGGCCCUAGCCGAUCUUGGAAUUAAAUCCUACGAGCCGGCUAAGUCAGACCAAGGUGACUAUUCCGGGGUACAAUGCCGACUCGCAAAGAGCCAUCGGCAAGAUUAGUCUCUUGUGUGUGCCAAACAUGGGAUCUGAAGACUGAGGUCACUUCUUAUGUGAUUGACGGUGACAUCUCCUAAACUUCCUGCUUGGAUCCACAGCGUGGUACGUUCCACCCUUCAUCAAUGCUUCAAAUACGUUGAUGAGAAGGGAGAAACUGGGUAUUUGCCGACAAUAAGCCCUUUUUUAAAGGAGUCUAGGCAUAUUGUCUGUACGGAUGCGCGUCUUUACAACGACGGCCCAGCCUAGACAGUGAUGGAUGACGAAAGCCCGCCAACGAAAGCCGAAGCACAGGUUCGUAGACCUCUCCGAAUCCCUCGAAAGCUAAGG